CAGUCGAGCGAUAAGCUGAACUUCGGUUUAGUGGACAGCGGCGGACGGGUGAGUAACGCGUGGGAAUUUACCAAGGAGUGGGGAACAACUGCUGGAAACGGCAGCUAAUACCGCAUACGCCCUAAGGGGGAAAGGCUUCGGCCGCUCCAUGAAAAGCCCGCGUACGAUUAGUUUGUUGGUGGGGUAAUGGCUUACCAAGACUACGAUCGUUAGCUGGUCUGAGAGGACGAUCAGCCACACUGGGACUGAGACACGGCUCAGACUCCUACGGGAGGCAGCAGUGGGGAAUAUUGGACAAUGGGCGAAAGCCUGAUCCAGCGAUGCCGCGUGAGUGAAGAAGGCCUUAGGGUUGUAAAGCUCUUUCGGUGGGGAAGAUAAUGACGGUACCCACAAAAGAAGCCCCGGCUAACUCCGUGCCAGCAGCCGCGGUAAUACGGAGGGGGCUAGCGUUACUCGGAAUUACUGGGCGUAAAGCGAGCGUA
RNAcentral lists this ribosomal RNA (482 nucleotides) under uncultured Alphaproteobacteria bacterium. RNAcentral describes it as "bacterial SSU rRNA". It matches the Rfam family "Bacterial small subunit ribosomal RNA", at positions 59 to 573 of the family's 1533-position model. The record is from RNAcentral. Lineage: Bacteria; Pseudomonadati; Pseudomonadota; Alphaproteobacteria.